This is a long non-coding RNA of Vicia villosa (hairy vetch), 2439 nucleotides long. RefSeq lists it as uncharacterized. The transcript has 10 exons. The record is from RefSeq and is a predicted model, not a curated record. Lineage: Eukaryota; Viridiplantae; Streptophyta; Magnoliopsida; Fabales; Fabaceae.
CUAUAAUAUAAGAAAGAAAACUGUGCUGGAUUAUACAACUUAACCCUUGCUUUAUUUGGUGACAAAUCUCACUUAUGGGGGCAAAUUAGGUCCAAAGUAACCAUUUGUCAGACAAUUAGAUGGUAUUAGUUACAUAAUUGGUACCUUUUGUGCCAUUCAUUGGCUGUCUCCAUUAUUUUAUAUUAUUCAACCCAUAAACCGGUUGCAUAUGGACGAGAAAAAGUAGAAAAGUUUCCUCUGCAAAACAGCAACAGCAGUCAUGGUCUUCCCAAUGAAUACACUGUUUGCAGGUAUCAUUCUUUCUUUCCUUCUCUUUCUUUCUCGUCCUUUCCUUCACUUUCUCUCUUCUUCCUCCUUCUCCCUCUUCUUCUUCCUUCUUCCUUCUUCCUACAGAUGCAAUUUGUAUUCUUUCCUGACACGGUUUGUUCUGUUGAGUGCUGAUGACGAUGAUGAACACGAUGAUGGUGAUGUUGAUGUUGUUGGGUUCGUGAUGAACGAUGUUGAACGAUUUUAGAUGAAUGAGUUGAGUUGGUUGAAGAUCUAUGAAGAUGAUGACGAAAGCUACGAAUCUGAAUCUCGGAUCCGACCCUUCCACGGGAUUAGGGUUUCAGGAGAUCUCGGUCGCAAGUUCUUUUCCAAUAUGAUUGGUUAGCAGAAUUUUGUGGGAAGUGGCGGUUUGAGUCGGUGAUGCAGCCUGUUUCUUCGGGAACCAGUUUGUUAUUCGUUUCGGUUGAGCUUUAUGCAGGGCUGCAGUUCUCAUAAGACCAUUACUUGAACAUUAUAGUAAAAUAUAUUCUUACUGCUUGCAGAGAUUUAAGCUUCAAUAUGUUUUCUGGUUCAAUCCCAAAUUCAAUCCAGGGAUUGAAAAGGCUAAAUUACAUGUUUAUGACAAAUAAUUCUUUGAGUGGACCGAUUCAAGACUGGAUACUUAACUUCAAAAUUAACAUAGAUUUAUCUUACAACAAUUUUACAAAGUCUUCUGCAACUAGCUGCCAGCAGCUGAAUCUGAACUUGGCUUCGAGCUAUUCUUCUUCAGCGGUCACUUCACCUUCAACGUUUUGUUUGAAGAGAAACCUUCCUUGUGCAGGAAAACCUCAAUCACACAAGGCACAACAUGAAAAAUCUCAGUAUUGCUGAAUUUUGGUUGAUUACCUUCCCACAAAUUAUGUAUGGAAUUACCUAUGACGAUAAUGCAAAGCAGACAAUAUGGUCAGAGUACAAGGUAUCUAUGAACCAAAAGGAAUCAAUGUUCCCUUCUUGCAGAUUUAUUUAGAGAGCCUGCUAUAGAAUUUGGGAGUUUUUCUAUCAUUUUUGCUCAGAAGAAUGCAGACCCAAAAUCACUUGCAAUCUUGAGGGUAACAUUUGGCGAACCUAAAAAGAAAUAUCACGAAGUUGCCAUACAAGACCAACAACAACACUCAAACAAAUUACUUUUUCAGCAGCUUCAGUCAUAUUUUAAUCAGCAGCAGCUUCAUGUUUACACUUUGUUGUCAAGACAACAGGUUCUUGACCUAAGAGAAGUAAGAGGAGGUGAUGAAAUGAGAUUGAAUCACCUUUGCAAAAAUCUAGGAGUGAAGCUGGUGGGAACAAAAGGAUUGGGGCUAAUUGUUGAUUCUCUCAUUGCUUCUAUUAAAGCCGAGAGGGGCAAUCGUGAACCUGUUUCAACUUCUAUGUCUCUAAAAGCAGGCAUUAUGAAGCGAAAGAUAAUUCGGUUUGAGCAUAAUUUCCUGAUAUUCAGUUAUAAUAUAUGGCUUCUCAAAUCAUAAGCUGCUCGAUUUGAUAUGAAAUUGUAGCUUAAUCAUAUCGAUUUACUCAGAAAGGCAAAGUUGGUGAAGAAAAGCAAUGGAUCCAUACGUUAAAGAAUCGGUUAGUUAGAGGUCCUUUCUCUCGGAUGGAUGUAAAAUACGAUGGCUCGUGUUGAACUGAUAUUGGCUUCUAAUUUGUAAUCCAGGAUGUUGUCACUUGUGAGGUUGAACAUUGUGAGAGAAGCCUCAGUUAUGUAGAACUUGACAUUUGAGGGGGCAAAGGUGAUGACUAGCAAGAAGAUGAAAGGGGAAGAAAAUGAAAUAGCAAAAAGCUUGAAGAAUAUGAACCUUAUGCAGUCACAUGAGGGUUGGAAAUUCAUGGCCAUGGUGACUGUCUUGCUAGGAUUUGGGUGAGGCUUGAAACUGACUUGUGAUUUGCGUUUUGAAGUUGUUUUCUUUUAACUGAAACUAUACGUGUAUGCAAAGGUAAUUUGGAUUGUUUAAUUAAAAUAACAUAUACAUGCUGAAAAAUCAUUUAAUGUCGUGUCCUGCCAAUUAUGAUUUUUCAAUAGCAUUUCAUUUCGUGUCCUAUUAAUGCCAGUAGUGCCACAAAGGUCUCAGGUGGUAGUAGUUUUGUAGAGAUUAUUCUAGAAAUUCUAUCUCUACUUCUUUUGAUGAAGGGAGAUAGAUAAAC